AUACGUAGGGGGCGAGCGUUGUCCGGAAUGAUUGGGCGUAAAGGGCGCGUAGGCGGCCUGUUAAGUCUGGAGUGAAAGUCCUGUUUUCAAGAUGGGAAUUGCUUUGGAUACUGAUGGGCUUGAGUGCAGAAGAGGUUAUCGGAAUUCCCGGUGUAGCGGUGAAAUGCGUAGAGAUCGGGAGGAACACCAGUGGCGAAGGCGGGUAACUGGACUGCAACUGACGCUGAGGCGCGAAAGCAUGGGUAGGGAACAGGAGUAGAUACCCUGGUAGGCCAUGCCGUAAAGGGUGGGCGCGAGGUGUAGGGGGCUUCCACGACUUCUGUGCCGUAGCUAACGCAUUAAGCGCCCCGCCUGGGGAGUACGGCCGCAAGGCUAAAACUCAAAGUAAUUGACGGGG
RNAcentral lists this ribosomal RNA (397 nucleotides) under uncultured bacterium. RNAcentral's name for it is "partial 16S ribosomal RNA". It matches the Rfam family "Bacterial small subunit ribosomal RNA", at positions 523 to 918 of the family's 1533-position model. The record is from RNAcentral.